UGAGGCAGUUGAUUUUAAGCAUAUAAGGUUACAUAAUAGUUAUACUCUUUCCCUAGUUACGGAUUAUUCCCACAGGGUUUUUCCUAACAAAGAUUCUUAAUAAGACAAUGUCUAUUAUGAAUUAUAAGUGGACAUUCAAGGCGGAGUGUUGAGAAACAGUGGAUUGGAAAUUCUCACUGUUCAAGCAUAGUGAAUGUCCUGACAUGCAUUUAAUGCAUGUUAGGAAAAGUUUUUCCUCCGCGCAAAAUAUGUUGAAAGUGUAAUGUUAAAACAGUAUAAUUUUUGCCUAUAAAUACCGGUGUAAGAAAUCAGUUCUACACAUCAAUACAAAUACCAUACUCUUCUAAUAAAUUCCUUUCAGUAACAUUCCUUCUAUAUAUCUAUUCUCACAACAGAUUUUUUGAAUGUACACAUUGAGUCAAAUUUAACAAAAUCCCACAUGACUACAUGAGUAUGUUUUUUCUAUACAUUAAUAAGAAUAUUUGGUCAAAGUUUAUAAAAUUUGACUCCCAAAAUAGAAACAAGAACUAUAUUUUGGGAUGAAUAAAGUAUUAUUUUUUUGUAAAUUUUUUGUUAACAUUGUUGAUUUUGUAUUGUUGUAAAAUGAGAUUUUUCAACAUCAUUUUAUUUACAUACUUCCUCUAUUCUUUUUCUACAGCUCGUCUUGCCAGAGACGGCCUAAUUGUAAUAAUAAAAUUAGGCGGAGCCCAAUAGGCCCAUAACAGAAAUACCCACCCCACAAACCCAAAUCCCAAAAACUAAAACCUAAAAAAAUUAAAAGAAACGCGCGUAUUAUUCACUUGAGAGCUUUUUUUCCCACUGACAGUUUCUUAUUCAACCUCACUUCUCUCUCUCGAAAUUCUGCCAAUUUUCAACCGAAAAAAAGUUCAAAAAUGCAUGAUUCUACUAAAUUUCGGUGGAACCAUCAAUUUACACACAAAAGAUCAUUACAUCAACUGUUUUCUAAUCAUAUUUUCUUCAAUUUCUGGUUUGUUUUUCUAAUAAUUUAAUGAAUUCUUUUAAACUGCGAUUUUUUUAGGCUUUUUUAUACAAUUAAUCUGGUGUAUAAUAGCGAAAUAUGACAAGACGAAAGAAAAAAUCGCCAAAAACGCCAACAAAUGAAGAUACACACAAUCAAGACACAAAAAAAGCAAAACCAUACAAUACUGUGACAGAAACUCUAACCGAGAUGAAGAAAAAGGCAGCUAAUGAUAGGAAAGUGUAGCAAAGGAAAAAAGGCGCUGACCACCUAAAAUACCAAAGAAAACUGAGGAAAGAACAUCUCCUCCCAUAAUUGAAGAAGAACAAGCUGAAGCUGAGCCAAACAAGAGGACAGAUGAAGGAAACCCAACAGAACAACCUCAAGGAAAGGGAGGAAAAAGACGCAAACAACCUCUAACAAAGGAAGAAAAAGAUCCAAAAGAGUUACCUAAAGGAAAAAGAAUGAAAUCGGGAAAAUAGAGUACUCCAAAGGAUUCACUACAAUCACCUGAAAGAAGAAUCAUAACAAGGGGAAUGAAGACUCCUCCAGAGAAUGAAAGGGAAACUCGAGAGCAAACUCCUUCAGAGUACGAGAUAAGCAUUUCUCCAAAGGGUUCAACAGAGUCACAUGAAAGAAAGGGAGGUAAACAAAAAAGAAACAACCUACUAACAAUGCUGAAAAAGUUCGUACACCACAAUCACCUAGUACACAAGCAAAGAAGAAAGGAAAACAACCUUUGAAAGAGAUUGAUCAAGAUGGUUCUCCAGAAAAAACCCCUAAAACCAGGUUGACAUUUCAUUCAUUUUUAAAUUAUGUCAUUCAUAUUUAUUGAUCAUUUGCAAAAAUAUUUCAUUCAUGUUUUAUAAUACAGUAUUAGUUGAUAUUUUA
Long non-coding RNA from Beta vulgaris subsp. vulgaris (sugar beet), 1870 nucleotides. RefSeq lists it as uncharacterized. NCBI's taxonomy places the organism in Eukaryota, Viridiplantae, Streptophyta, Magnoliopsida, Caryophyllales, Amaranthaceae. The transcript is spliced from 2 exons. The record is from RefSeq and is a predicted model, not a curated record.